This 253-nucleotide ribosomal RNA is filed under the name uncultured bacterium. RNAcentral describes it as "partial 16S ribosomal RNA". It matches the Rfam family "Bacterial small subunit ribosomal RNA", at positions 524 to 776 of the family's 1533-position model. The record is from RNAcentral.
UACGAAGGGGGCUAGCGUUGCUCGGAAUCACUGGGCGUAAAGCGCACGUAGGCGGGUCGUUAAGUCAGGGGUGAAAUCCUGGAGCUCAACUCCAGAACUGCCUUUGAUACUGGCGAUCUUGAGUUCGGGAGAGGUGAGUGGAACUGCGAGUGUAGAGGUGAAAUUCGUAGAUAUUCGCAAGAACACCAGUGGCGAAGGCGGCUCACUGGCCCGAUACUGACGCUGAGGUGCGAAAGCGUGGGGAGCAAACAGG